This 200-nucleotide unclassified non-coding RNA is filed under the name Sphaerulina sp. Its description in RNAcentral is "partial internal transcribed spacer 2". The record is from RNAcentral. Lineage: Eukaryota; Fungi; Ascomycota; Dothideomycetes; Mycosphaerellales; Mycosphaerellaceae.
UUAAGUUCAGCGGGUAUCCCUACCUGAUCCGAGGUCAACCUUGUGAAAGAUUUAACGGCCGCGGCCGCCCGCACCCCGAAGCGAUUAAUGAAAUCACAACGCUUGGAGACGGACAGCUCAGCCGGAGACUUCGAGGCGCGCGGAACACCGCGGCGCCCAAUACCAAGCCAGGCUUGAGUGGUGAAAUGACGCUCGAACAG